GCGGCGAACGGGUGAGUAACACGUGAGUAAUCUGCCCUUGGCUUUGGGAUAGCCACCGGAAACGGUGAUUAAUACCGGAUACGACCACUUCUCGCAUGGGAUGGUGGUGGAAAGUUUUUCGGCCAGGGAUGUGCUCGCGGCCUAUCAGCUUGAUGGUGAGGUAAUGGCUCACCAUGGCUUCGACGGGUAGCCGGCCUGAGAGGGUGACCGGUCACACUGGGACUGAGACACGGCCCAGACUCCUACGGGAGGCAGCAGUGGGGAAUAUUGGACAAUGGGCGGAAGCCUGAUCCAGCAACGCCGCGUGAGGGAUGACGGCCUUCGGGUUGUAAACCUCUUUCGGUGGGGACGAAGCGCAAGUGACGGUACCCACUAAAGAAGCACCGGCCAACUACGUGCCAGCAGCCGCGGUAAUACGUAGGGUGCGAGCGUUGUCCGGAAUUAUUGGGCGUAAAGGGCUCGUAGGCGGUUUGUCGCGUCGGGAGUGAAAACCAGGUGCUUAACACCUGGCUUGCUUUCGAUACGGGCAGACUAGAGGUAUUCAGGGGAGAACGGAAUUCCUGGUGUAGCGGUGAAAUGCGCAGAUAUCAGGAGGAACACCGGUGGCGAAGGCGGUUCU
RNAcentral lists this ribosomal RNA (619 nucleotides) under Nocardioides sp. R05-7. RNAcentral describes it as "bacterial SSU rRNA". It matches the Rfam family "Bacterial small subunit ribosomal RNA", at positions 95 to 728 of the family's 1533-position model. Lineage: Bacteria; Bacillati; Actinomycetota; Actinomycetes; Propionibacteriales; Nocardioidaceae. The record is from RNAcentral.